This 490-nucleotide ribosomal RNA is filed under the name uncultured bacterium. RNAcentral describes it as "partial 16S ribosomal RNA". It matches the Rfam family "Bacterial small subunit ribosomal RNA", at positions 30 to 507 of the family's 1533-position model. The record is from RNAcentral.
AUUGAACGCUGGCGGCAGGCCUAACACAUGCAAGUCGAACGGUAACAGGAAGCAGCUUGCUGCUUUGCUGACGAGUGGCGGACGGGUGAGUAAUGUCUGGGAAACUGCCCGAUGGAGGGGGAUAACUACUGGAAACGGUAGCUAAUACCGCAUAACGUCGCAAGACCAAAGAGGGGGACCUUAGGGCCUCUUGCCAUCGGAUGUGCCCAGAUGGGAUUAGCUAGUAGGUGGGGUAACGGCUCACCUAGGCGACGAUCCCUAGCUGGUCUGAGAGGAUGACCAGCCACACUGGAACUGAGACACGGUCCAGACUCCUACGGGAGGCAGUAGUGGGGAAUAUUGCACAAUGGGCGCAAGCCUGAUGCAGCCAUGCCGCGUGUAUGAAGAAGGCCUUCGGGUUGUAAAGUACUUUCAGCGGGGAGGAAGGGAGUAAAGUUAAUACCUUUGCUCAUUGACGUUACCCGCAGAAGAAGCACCGGCUAACUCCGUG